UGCGUAGGCGGCGCGGUAAGUCGGGUGUGAAAUCUCGGAGCUUAACUCCGAAACUGCAUUCGAUACUGCCGUGCUUGAGGACUGGAGAGGAGACUGGAAUUUACGGUGUAGCGGUGAAAUGCGUAGAUAUCGUAAGGAAGACCAGUGGCGAAGGCGGGUCUCUGGACAGUUCCUGACGCUGAGGCACGAAGGCCAGGGGAGGCAAAACG
This 209-nucleotide ribosomal RNA is filed under the name uncultured bacterium. RNAcentral's name for it is "partial 16S ribosomal RNA". It matches the Rfam family "Bacterial small subunit ribosomal RNA", at positions 568 to 776 of the family's 1533-position model. The record is from RNAcentral.